Molecule: ribosomal RNA, 253 nt
Filed under: uncultured bacterium
Lineage: Bacteria
Description: partial 16S ribosomal RNA
Rfam family: Bacterial small subunit ribosomal RNA
Source: RNAcentral
UACAGAGGGUGCGAGCGUUAAUCGGAAUGAUUGGGCGUAAAGGGCGCGUAGGCGGCGCGGUAAGUCACUUGUGAAAUCUCUGAGCUUAACUCAGAACGGCCAAGUGAUACUGCAGUGCUAGAGUGCAGAAGGGGCAAUCGGAAUUCUUGGUGUAGCGGUGAAAUGCGUAGAUAUCAAGAGGAACACCUGAGGUGAAGACGGGUUGCUAGGCUGACACUGACGCUGAGGCGCGAAAGCUAGGGGAGCAAACGGG